This 702-nucleotide ribosomal RNA is filed under the name Cortinarius dionysae var. avellanus. RNAcentral describes it as "eukaryotic LSU rRNA". The stretch from base 296 to 449 matches the Rfam family "5.8S ribosomal RNA". Lineage: Eukaryota; Fungi; Basidiomycota; Agaricomycetes; Agaricales; Cortinariaceae. The record is from RNAcentral.
UAGAGGAAGUAAAAGUCGUAACAAGGUUUCCGUAGGUGAACCUGCGGAAGGAUCAUUAUUGAAAUAAACCUGAUGGGUUGUUGCUGGUUCUCUAGGGAGCAUGUGCACGCUUGUCAUCUUUAUAUCUCCACCCGUGCACCUUUUGUAGACCUGGAUAUCUCUCUGAGUGCUAGCCACUCAGGUUUGAGUAUUGACUUUGCGUCUUUUCUUACAUUUCCAGGCCUAUGUUUUUCCAUAUACCCAAUGUAUGUCAUAGAAUGUAUUCAAUGGGCCUCUGUGCCUAUAAAAUCUAUACAACUUUCAGCAACGGAUCUCUUGGCUCUCGCAUCGAUGAAGAACGCAGCGAAAUGCGAUAAGUAAUGUGAAUUGCAGAAUUCAGUGAAUCAUCGAAUCUUUGAACGCACCUUGCGCUCCUUGGUAUUCCGAGGAGCAUGCCUGUUUGAGUGUCAUUAAUAUAUCAACCUCUUCAAAUUUUUUGUUUGAUGAGUGUUGGAUGUGGGGGACUCCUUUGCUGGUCUAAACAGGUCAGCUCCCCUGAAAUGCAUUAGCAGAACCAUUUGCAGAUCGUUCAUUGGUGUGAUAAUUAUCUACGCUAUUAACGUGAAGUAGUUCAGCUUCUAACAGUCCAUUGACUUGGACAAUUUUCAUUAAUGUGACCUCAAAUCAGGUAGGACUACCCGCUGAACUUAAGCAUAUCAAUAA